GCUGGGUGCAGUGGCACACACCUGUAAUCCCAGUGGCUCAGGAGGCUGAGGCAGGAGGAUGGCGAGUUCAGCGCCAGCCUCAGCAAAAACCAGGCACUAAGCAACUCAGUGAGACCCUGUCUCUC
RNAcentral lists this small RNA (125 nucleotides) under Marmota monax (woodchuck). Lineage: Eukaryota; Metazoa; Chordata; Mammalia; Rodentia; Sciuridae. The record is from RNAcentral.